UGCCAGCCGCCGCGGUAAUACGAAGGGUGCUAGCGUUAUUCGGAAUUAUUGGGCGUAAAGGGCGCGCAGGCGGUCUUGUCCGUCAGGUGUGAAAGCUCGGGGCUCAACCCCGGAAGUGCACUUGAAACAGCAAGACUUGAAUACGGUAGAGGAGAGAGGAAUUCCUGGUGUAGAGGUGAAAUCCGUAGAGAUCGGAAGGAAUACCGGUGGCGAAGGCGGCCUCCUGGACCAAUAUUGACGCUGAGGCGCGAAGGCGUGGGUAGCGAACGGGAUUAGAUA
Molecule: ribosomal RNA, 279 nt
Filed under: uncultured bacterium
Lineage: Bacteria
Description: partial 16S ribosomal RNA
Rfam family: Bacterial small subunit ribosomal RNA
Source: RNAcentral